Molecule: ribosomal RNA, 253 nt
Filed under: uncultured bacterium
Lineage: Bacteria
Description: partial 16S ribosomal RNA
Rfam family: Bacterial small subunit ribosomal RNA
Source: RNAcentral
UACGUAGGGUGCGAGCGUUGUCCGGAAUUAUUGGGCGUAAAGAGCUCGUAGGCGGUCUGUCGCGUCUGCUGUGAAAUCCCGAGGCUCAACCUCGGGCUUGCAGUGGGUACGGGCAGGCUAGAGUGCGGUAGGGGAGGAUGGAACUCCUGGUGUAGCGGUGGAAUGCGCAGAUAUCAGGAAGAACACCCGUGGCGAAGGCGGUUCUCUGGGACGGUACUGACGCUGAGACGCGAAAGCGUGGGGAGCGAACAGG